Halocaridina rubra (Hawaiian volcano shrimp) is the source of this 81-nucleotide non-coding RNA. Lineage: Eukaryota; Metazoa; Arthropoda; Malacostraca; Decapoda; Atyidae. The record is from the annotation of a GenBank genome assembly.
CCCAUGGUAGCUCAGUGGUCAAGAGCGCAUGACCUGGGAAAUGAUGUGCCGGACUUACAUAGAUUAGAACCCGCCAUGGGA